Molecule: ribosomal RNA, 492 nt
Filed under: uncultured bacterium
Lineage: Bacteria
Description: partial 16S ribosomal RNA
Rfam family: Bacterial small subunit ribosomal RNA
Source: RNAcentral
AGUGAACGCUGGCGGUAGGCCUAACACAUGCAAGUCGAACGGCAGCACAGUAAGAGCUUGCUCUUACGGGUGGCGAGUGGCGGACGGGUGAGGAAUACAUCGGAAUCUACUUUUUCGUGGGGGAUAACGUAGGGAAACUUACGCUAAUACCGCAUACGACCUACGGGUGAAAGCAGGGGAUCUUCGGACCUUGCGCGAUUGAAUGAGCCGAUGUCGGAUUAGCUAGUUGGCGGGGUAAAGGCCCACCAAGGCGACGAUCCGUAGCUGGUCUGAGAGGAUGAUCAGCCACACUGGAACUUCGACACGGUCCAGACUCCUACGGGAGUCAGCAGUGGGGAAUAUUGGACAAUGGGCGCAAGCCUGAUCCAGCCAUACCGCGUGGGUGAAGAAGGCCUUCGGGUUGUAAAGCCCUUUUGUUGGGAAAGAAAAGCAGCAGGUUAAUACCCCGCUGUUCUGACGGUACCCAAAGAAUAAGCACCGGCUAACUUCGUG